GACUUGUCCAUCCAGCCUACAUGGUGGAGGAGAAUGAARACAAUUGUAGUUGCCAGAUCAACCUUGAAUGUGACAGGAGCUGUAAUUUUAUCAUCAAUGAAAGAGGGCGUCAAUCAGACGGGAAUUCAACUGAUGCAGGACAUCAACUCAGGCACGUCUUUUUUAUUUUUUGUAAGGUUCUUUGUUUGGUUUGUGGUUCUUUACCCACCUGUUUUAUAUUAAUAAUCACUGUUUGACAUUCAGKAAUCACCUCUCUACGAACGUAUACGUCCUGUUUUGCCUCUUUUUUUUCCUGGUACUUCAUGCAGUAUAUUUUAGAAAAUUUCCAUCUUUUUUUUUCUUCUUCUGAGUUGUGGUCCUCUUGUUUCACACUGUGGUUCUUAAUACCUACAGUUUAAAUAUUUCGUUUUUCAUCAUCYACCCGCAUUAUUUUGGGAUCUUGUUUCAGUUUUCCUCGACUGAAACAAGGAAGCUAAAAUAAAGUUUCAUCCUAAUGUGGAUCUUUUUAUAUAUCUUGUGAUUGAAAUUUUUAAUUUUAUUUCCUGAAUCUGACCAAACAGCAACACCAAACAGGUGAAGCUGACCGAAAACGAACAUGUGCUGCCCUCUUGUGGUUUGAGAAGCUUAUUACACAUUUGUUCACAUUUCUUUCCUUUUGUCUCAUGACCAAAACAAAUUUUCCAUUCAAACUAAAUGAAACACGUUGUUGAGUCGCCACAAACCCCCUUGUAUUUGUUUUUUUACCCAGAAGGUAUUCUGCUCUCGAAGGCAAACACAUGACUACAGAUCGGCUCACGCCACAGUAAUGUACUCCAGAAUUCAUUAAUUAUUCACUUUCUAACUUUCCUCCCUGUUAGAAACAAAUAACUCUAACAAAAUACAUUUCAAACAUCAGAUUUUUGGUCUGUAAUUAAAACAGUGCGUUAAAAGAACAAACUUUCAACCUGAGUGACACAUUAAAGUUAUUUUAUUGUGAAAGAGUUUUAAUAGUGAGCAUUAGUGCAAAUGGACUCAUCAGCCAACCUUUUAUACUUUUAUAAUCUAAUUUAUAUGAUAUUGUUUUGUGCUGCUUUAAUCUCGGGCUGCUUGUGUUUUUGAGGCAGUUCAUCCAAAUCACAGAAAACAUAUUUCAUUUUCCGAUCAUUUAGCUUUUUCAUCUUUUUUUCUUCCAUUUUUCCUGAGUAGUUAGAGGCAUUUUUAUAAAGAAAAAAAAAGGACAUAAAGCUGCCGAAUAUUUCAAAAAUAAAAUUCACAACUAAAGUGGGACUUAUCUCAGUUCUAAUACUGGAUAUUUUAUGACACAAAAA
Long non-coding RNA from Austrofundulus limnaeus, 1307 nucleotides. RefSeq lists it as uncharacterized. NCBI's taxonomy places the organism in Eukaryota, Metazoa, Chordata, Actinopteri, Cyprinodontiformes, Rivulidae. The record is from RefSeq and is a predicted model, not a curated record. The transcript is spliced from 2 exons.